This 828-nucleotide long non-coding RNA is filed under the name Citrus x clementina. RNAcentral's name for it is "Citrus clementina (C. clementina) long non-coding RNA (CCLE_LNC001084)". Lineage: Eukaryota; Viridiplantae; Streptophyta; Magnoliopsida; Sapindales; Rutaceae. The record is from RNAcentral.
GGGGGGGGAAUGUUGCUAACAAGAUAAAACAACCGCAAACACCACCACCGCUACUAUGUCGAACCAGCCACCAUAUUCGACACCACCAGUACCACCGCCAGUCCAAUCAAACGACAUCGUGUCACGCAUGGGUUCGCGUCAAUUUCGUUGAUUGAAUAAUAAAUACAACGAUGCAAAACAUACACAAAGAGACCAAAAAUCCAAUUGUGGAUUAGAGAACGAGACGAGUCCAUGUCAAAUAAACAAGUCGAUCUCAUCCCAUUUAAUUUGGUCACUUGGACUGGGCUCAUUUUACCAUCAUUUUGUGCAUCAAUUUGUCCACGCUAGUUAAACACGCAAGCUAAGAGACAAAAACCCAUUUGUCUGCCUACUUUUUUUUAAUAUUUUCUUUUCACAUUGCUUUCAUAUUUCAUUUAUACAUCACAUAUGUCAAUGAAAAUGACACAUAAUUGUGCAUUCAAGUUUGUAGUAAAUUUGAUCAUGUGAAUCACUUUCGGGUGGUUAAUGGCUAUUACAACAAAGACACAAAAAUUGUCACGUAGCUAUAAUAGAUUUGCUGUCAGCCAUGCACUCAGCUUCAGUGCAUGUACUGUUUUAUAGCCUCAGAGAAAAUAUUUUUAGCCAUGACGUGCAUUCAUGGCAUUCACGACGUGUUAACAUUUUCGGAAGGUCUAUCAAGGACAAAAAGAAUAUAGCUUUUGUUUUCAAAAAAUUGCAUUAACAAUAUCCACACACAAAUCUUCAAUUAUGUUCGGUUUUGCAAGAUUGUGUGGACGAAAUGAAACUAUGUUAGAAAAUAAUUGGUUGGUGAAAAUCAUUAUAGAAACA